This 649-nucleotide ribosomal RNA is filed under the name uncultured bacterium. Its description in RNAcentral is "bacterial SSU rRNA". It matches the Rfam family "Bacterial small subunit ribosomal RNA", at positions 43 to 741 of the family's 1533-position model. The record is from RNAcentral.
CAGGCCUAACACAUGCAAGUCGAACGCUAUUUUAUAGAGUGGCGCACGGGUGAGUAACGCGUGGGAAUCUGCCCUUCUGCCUGGGAUAACAGCUGGAAACGGCUGCUAAUACCGGAUACGCCCUUCGGGGGAAAGGUCCGCCGCAGAAGGAGGAGCCCGCGUCUGAUUAGCUUGUUGGUAGGGUAAUGGCCUACCAAGGCGACGAUCAGUAGCUGGUCUGAGAGGAUGAUCAGCCACACUGGGACUGAGACACGGCCCAGACUCCUACGGGAGGCAGCAGUGGGGAAUAUUGGACAAAGGGGGAAACCCUGAUCCAGCAAUGCCGCGUGUGUGAUGAAGGCCUUAGGGUUGUAAAGCACUUUCACUGGUGAAGACGAUGACGGUAACCAGAGAAGAAGCCCCGGCUAAUUUCGUGCCAGCAGCCGCGGUAAUACGAAGGGGGCGAGCGUUGUUCGGAAUUACUGGGCGUAAAGGGAGCGCAGGCGGUUCAUUAAGUUAGGCGUGAAAGCCCCGGGCUCAACCUGGGAACUGCGCUUAAUACUGAUGAACUAGAAAACAGGAGAGGGUAGUGGAAUUUCCAGUGUAGAGGUGAAAUUCGUAGGUAUUGGAAAGAACACCGGUGGCGAAAGCGGCUACCUGGCCUGAUUUU